This 428-nucleotide ribosomal RNA is filed under the name uncultured bacterium. RNAcentral describes it as "bacterial SSU rRNA". It matches the Rfam family "Bacterial small subunit ribosomal RNA", at positions 355 to 775 of the family's 1533-position model. The record is from RNAcentral.
UCGAGAAUUUUUCUCAAUGGGCGAAAGCCUGAAGGAGCGACGCCGCGUGGAGGAUGAAGGUUUUCGGAUUGUAAACUCCUGUCAUUGGGGAACAAUUGUACGGGGAAUAACUGCCCCGUGCUUGAUAGUACCCGAAGAGGAAGGGACGGCUAACUCUGUGCCAGCAGCCGCGGUAAUACAGAGGUCCCAAGCGUUGUUCGGAUUCAUUGGGCGUAAAGGGUGCGUAGGCGGUGAUGUAAGUUGGAUGUGAAAUCCCAGGGCUUAACCCUGGAACUGCAUUCAAUACUGCGUUGCUAGAGUACUGGAGAGGAGAUUGGAAUUCACGGUGUAGCAGUGAAAUGCGUAGAUAUCGUGAGGAAGACCAGUGGCGAAGGCGAAUCUCUGGACAGUUACUGACGCUGAGGCACGAAGGCCAGGGGAGCAAACGG